CCAAACCUGCAGCUCUUGUGGGGGGUUCCCGGUCUGCAGAGGUCAGUACCUAUCAAAAGUGGUCCAAGGAAGGAACAAAACCCGGAGACUGGGUCAUGGGGGGCCGAGGCUCAUCGAUGCAGGUGGGGAGUAAAGGCUGGCCCGUGUGGUCCGAUCCAACAGACGAGCUACUGUACUGUCAAACUGCUGAAACAGUUAAUGCUAUAUACACACACUGCAGGUAUAUAGACAUUGUAUGUGCUACAUUUCAUACAAUUCUACCGACAAUACCUCUACAAUAAGUUAGUUAGUUAGUUUCAGAGGACAGUGCUGUAUACAGGUCAGAGAUCAGUGCUAUUUGAUAAGGAUGUUAUUGUUAUAUAGGUCAUUGCUGUAGAUACAGGGCAGAGGUCUGUACUGUAUAUUUGAUUAUUAGAAUUAAUACGCAUAAAUAAAUUCAGCUAUGUGUGACAUCAUCCUGUGUGUUUACAGAGACAUUACCAUCCAGUCGUGCGGCGGUUAGCGGUCCACCUGUGUCAGGGAGCUCCCAGUGAGGGAUCGGCGGCGCUCGGUGUCGAUCUGAGUCGCAGGUCGCCGGUGGAGCUGUUUAAUAUCUACAGUGUCAAAGACAUGACCUUUAACCCCCCUGUAGCACCGCCUGGCACCAAGAAGAAGGAUCGGUUUGUGGUCGGAGCAACGCUGUUGGACACGGAGCUGCAGAGACGAGCCGAAAGCGUCCUCGCCGCCACCGAGCAGACGGAGCUGGACUUUAAUAUAAAGCACGCACACACACACACACACACACACACAAACACACACAAUAAAAAUCUUUUCUAACAAAUAUUAUAAACAUGAAUCGUUCUGAUGAAACUUUAGUUACAGAUAGACCAGUGUUGCUUUCAAAAUAAAAGCCUAAAAGUAGGAAGUGAGCUGUUUGUACAAAAAUGAUCUUUUCAUAUCUCUUCAUUUGCUUGUUCUUGUUGAAUAAAUGUUUUAUUGGAA
Long non-coding RNA from Morone saxatilis (striped sea-bass), 981 nucleotides. RefSeq lists it as uncharacterized. The transcript is spliced from 3 exons. The record is from RefSeq and is a predicted model, not a curated record. Lineage: Eukaryota; Metazoa; Chordata; Actinopteri; Moronidae.